GCCUCCUUAGCUCAGUUGGUAGAGCAACGCAUUCGUAAUGCGUAGGUCGUAGGUUCGAGUCCCAUAGGAGGCU
This 73-nucleotide transfer RNA is filed under the name Fibrella sp. ES10-3-2-2. RNAcentral's name for it is "tRNA-Thr". It matches the Rfam family "tRNA". From Rfam's summary of the family: Transfer RNA (tRNA) molecules are approximately 80 nucleotides in length. Their secondary structure includes four short double-helical elements and three loops (D, anti-codon, and T loops). RNAcentral also lists the same sequence under 5 other names. The record is from RNAcentral. Lineage: Bacteria; Pseudomonadati; Bacteroidota; Cytophagia; Cytophagales; Spirosomataceae.